GAUGAACGCUGGCGGCGUGCUUAACACAUGCAAGUCGAACGAAGCACUUUAUUUGAUUUCCUUCGGGACUGAUUAUUUUGUGACUGAGUGGCGGACGGGUGAGUAACGCGUGGGUAACCUGCCUUGUACAGGGGGAUAACAGUUGGAAACGGCUGCUAAUACCGCAUAAGCGCACAGCAUCGCAUGAUGCAGUGUGAAAAACUCCGGUGGUAUAAGAUGGACCCGCGUUGGAUUAGCUAGUUGGUGAGGUAACGGCCCACCAAGGCGACGAUCCAUAGCCGACCUGGGAGGGUGCCCGGCCACAUUGGGACUGAGACACGGCCCACACUCCUACGGGAGGCAGCAGUGGGGAAUAUUGCACAAUGGGCGAAAGCCUGAUGCAGCGACGCCGCGUGAGCGAAGAAGUAUUUCGGUAUGUAAAGCUCUAUCAGCAGGGAAGAUAAUGACGGUACCUGACUAAGAAGCACCGGCUAACUACGUG
Molecule: ribosomal RNA, 481 nt
Filed under: uncultured bacterium
Lineage: Bacteria
Description: partial 16S ribosomal RNA
Rfam family: Bacterial small subunit ribosomal RNA
Source: RNAcentral